This 625-nucleotide ribosomal RNA is filed under the name Salmonella enterica. RNAcentral describes it as "partial 23S ribosomal RNA". It matches the Rfam family "Bacterial large subunit ribosomal RNA", at positions 1 to 668 of the family's 2925-position model. The record is from RNAcentral. RNAcentral also lists the same sequence under 1 other name. Lineage: Bacteria; Pseudomonadati; Pseudomonadota; Gammaproteobacteria; Enterobacterales; Enterobacteriaceae.
GGUUAAGCGACUAAGCGUACACGGUGGAUGCCCUGGCAGUCAGAGGCGAUGAAGGGCGUGCUAAUCUGCGAUAAGCGCCGGUAAGGUGAUAUGAACCGUUAUAACCGGCGAUACCCGAAUGGGGAAACCCAGUGUGACUCGUCACACUAUCAUUAACUGAAUCCAUAGGUUAAUGAGGCGAACCGGGGGAACUGAAACAUCUAAGUACCCCGAGGAAAAGAAAUCAACCGAGAUUCCCCCAGUAGCGGCGAGCGAACGGGGAGGAGCCCAGAGCCUGAAUCAGCAUGUGUGUUAGUGGAAGCGUCUGGAAAGGCGCGCGAUACAGGGUGACAGCCCCGUACACAAAAGCGCAUGUGCUGUGAGCUCGAUGAGUAGGGCGGGACACGUGAUAUCCUGUCUGAAUAUGGGGGGACCAUCCUCCAAGGCUAAAUACUCCUGACUGACCGAUAGUGAACCAGUACCGUGAGGGAAAGGCGAAAAGAACCCCGGCGAGGGGAGUGAAAAAGAACCUGAAACCGUGUACGUACAAGCAGUGGGAGCACCCUUUUGGGUGUGACUGCGUACCUUUUGUAUAAUGGGUCAGCGACUUAUAUUCUGUAGCAAGGUUAACCGAAUAGGGGAGCCG